GCGUAAAGGGCGUGUAGGCGGUCUUUCAAGUCCGAUGCUAAAGACUGGGGCUCAACCCCCAGGGGUGCGUUGGAUACUGUGAGGCUAGACGGUCGGAGGGGGUAGCGGAAUUUCCGGAGUAGCGGUGAAAUGCGCAGAUACCGGAAGGAACGCCAAUAGCGAAGGCAGCUACCUGGACGACUUGUGACGCUGAGGCGCGAAAGCGUGGGGAGCAAACCGGAUUAGAUACCCGGGUAGUCCACGCCCUAAACCAUGAGUGCUGGGUGUCCGGCUUCUGCUGGGUGCCGUAGCUAACGCGCUAAGCACUCCGCCUGGGAAGUACGCACGCAAGUGUGAAACUCAAAGGAAUUGACGGGGGCCCGCACAAGCGGUGGAGCAUGUGGUUUAAUUCGAAGCGACGCGAAGAACCUUACCAGGCCUUGACAUGCCCGGAACCCCUCUGAAAGGAGGGGGUGCCCGCAAGGGAGCCGGGACACAGGUGCUGCAUGGCCGUCGUCAGCUCGUGUCGUGAGAUGUUGGGUUAAGUCCCGCAACGAGCGCAACCCCUAUCCCUAGUUGCCAGCAGUUCGGCUGGGCACUCUAUGGAGACUGCCUGCGAAAGCAGGAGGAAGGCGGGGAUGACGUCUGGUCCGCAUGGCCCUUACGGCCUGGGCGACACACGUGCUACAAUGCCAAGGACAGAGCGCUGCUACCUCGCGAGAGGACGCCAAUCGCAAAAACCUUGGCUCAGUUCGGAUUGGAGUCUGCAACUCGACUCCAUGAAGCCGGAAUCGCUAGUAAUCGCGAAUCAGCCAUGUCGCGGUGAAUACG
Molecule: ribosomal RNA, 810 nt
Filed under: uncultured Thermaceae bacterium
Lineage: Bacteria; Thermotogati; Deinococcota; Deinococci; Thermales; Thermaceae
Description: bacterial SSU rRNA
Rfam family: Bacterial small subunit ribosomal RNA
Source: RNAcentral